RNAcentral lists this ribosomal RNA (449 nucleotides) under uncultured bacterium. RNAcentral's name for it is "partial 16S ribosomal RNA". It matches the Rfam family "Bacterial small subunit ribosomal RNA", at positions 29 to 523 of the family's 1533-position model. The record is from RNAcentral.
AACGAACGCUGGCGGCAUGCCUAACACAUGCAAGUCGAACGAGAUCUUCGGGUCUAGUGGCGCACGGGUGCGUAACGCGUGGGAAUCUGCCCUUUGGUUCGGAAUAACAGUUGGAAACGACUGCUAAUACCGGAUGAUGACGAAAGUCCAAAGAUUUAUCGCCGGAGGAUGAGCCCGCGUAGGAUUAGCUAGUUGGUGUGGUAAAGGCGCACCAAGGCGACGAUCCUUAGCUGGUCUGAGAGGAUGAUCAGCCACACUGGGACUGAGACACGGCCCAGACUCCUACGGGAGGCAGCAGUGGGGAAUAGUGGACACUGGGCGAAGGCCUGCUCCAGCAAUGCCGCGUGAGUGAUGAAGGCCUUAGGGUUGUAAAGCGCUUUUACCCGUGAUGAUAAUGACAGUACCGGGAGAAUAAGCGCCGGCUAACUCCGUGCCAGCAGCCGCAGUAA